GAUAGCUGGUUCUCCCCGAAAGCUAUUUAGGUAGCGCCUCGUGAAUUCAUCUUCGGGGGUAGAGCACUGUUUCGGCUAGGGGGUCAUCCCGACUUACCAACCCGAUGCAAACUACGAAUACCGAAGAAUGUUAUCACGGGAGACACACGGCGGGUGCUAACGUCCGUCGUGAAGAGGGAAACAACCCAGACCGCCAGCUAAGGUCCCAAAGUCAUGGUUAAGUGGGAAACGAUGUGGGAAGGCACAGACAGCCAGGAUGUUGGCUUAGAAGCAGCCAUCAUUUAAAGAAAGCGUAAUAGCUCACUGGUCGAGUCGGCCUGCGCGGAAGAUGUAACGGGGCUAAACCAUGCACCGAAGCUGCGGCAGCGACACUAUG
This 376-nucleotide ribosomal RNA is filed under the name Klebsiella pneumoniae. RNAcentral's name for it is "partial 23S ribosomal RNA". It matches the Rfam family "Bacterial large subunit ribosomal RNA", at positions 844 to 1218 of the family's 2925-position model. The record is from RNAcentral. Lineage: Bacteria; Pseudomonadati; Pseudomonadota; Gammaproteobacteria; Enterobacterales; Enterobacteriaceae.